AUCCCAGAUGAUAAUAUGUGUGAUUAUUCUGAUGCAUGCGAGAUAAAGAGUAAAUAAUAAUGGGAGUUCGCUGAUAGCGCCUUUGUAUUUUUUACAGGGUUUUCUAAUUGUAACUGACCGACCAUGU
Molecule: small nucleolar RNA, 127 nt
Organism: Pistacia vera
Lineage: Eukaryota; Viridiplantae; Streptophyta; Magnoliopsida; Sapindales; Anacardiaceae
Source: RefSeq, a predicted model, not a curated record